This 1117-nucleotide ribosomal RNA is filed under the name Grosmannia penicillata. RNAcentral describes it as "SSU rRNA". It matches the Rfam family "Bacterial small subunit ribosomal RNA", at positions 202 to 1350 of the family's 1533-position model. The record is from RNAcentral. Lineage: Eukaryota; Fungi; Ascomycota; Sordariomycetes; Ophiostomatales; Ophiostomataceae.
AAGGUUAUUCCGCUUUAAGAUGAUUAGAUAAAUCAUAGAGAUAGGUAGUUGUUAAGGUAAUGGCUUAACUAGCCCAAAAUUCUCUUAGUCGAAACUGAAAUGGUUGAUCGACCACAUUGGGGCUGAAAAAAACCCAAUACAAGUGAGUACAGCAGUGGGGAAUAUUGGUCAAUGGCCUAACGGCUGAACUGGCAACUUGGAGGAAUGGCCUAUCUUACUAAGUAAAUAGUAAGAAUUAGAGUGAAAAUGGUUAAAUCGAUUAUCGAAUAAAAUUCUAAAUAUAUAAAUUAUAAUGACUAUAUAUAUUUAUGUCUUGACUAAUUACGUGCCAGCAGUCGCGGUAAUACGUAAGAGACUAGUGUUACUCAUUUUUAAUAGGUUUAAAGGGUACCCAGACGGAAGAAAUUUGCCUGGAAAGGGACAAUUUUUAUCUAGAGUUUAAUAUAAGAAGGUCGUACUUGUGGAAUAGAGAUGAAAUACUUUUAUACCUAAUAAGGGACUGGUAAAGGCGAAAGCAACCUUUUAUGUAAAAACUGACGUUGAAGGACGAAGGCUUAGAACACGAAUAGGAUUAGAUACCCUAGUAGUCUUAGCAGAAAAUGAUGAAUGUCAUAGGUUAGGUUAUACUUAGUCUAUAAAUGAAAAUGUAAGCAUUUCACCUCAAGAGUAACGUGGCAACACGGAAACUGAAAUCACUAGACCGUUUCUGACAUCAGUAGUGAAGUAUGUUAUUUAAUUCGAUGAUCCACGAAAAACCUUACCACAAUUAGAAUUAUAUUUAUAAUAUAAAUAUUAUAAAUAUAACGAGUGUUGCACGGCUGUUUCCAGUUAAUGUUGUGAAACUAUGGCUUCGGCCAUGAAAUUAACGAAAACCCUUGCUUUAUUUAUAGAAAAUUUUUAAUAAAGCUGCUUUUAUCAUUAUACCGAUAAAAUAGUAGGGCCAAAGACAAGUCAUCAUGGCCUUUAUAUUGUGGGCUAUAGACGUGCCACAUAUUCCUAGACAAAGAGAUGCGAAAAUGCGAAUUUAAGCUAAUCUCAAAAAAUAGGAUAAAAUAGGAUAAGGAUUGUAGUCUGAAACUCGACUACAUGAAUAAGUAAUUACUAGUAAUCGUGAAUC